CUACGGGGCGCUCCAGUGGGGAAUAUUGCACAAUGGGCGCAAGCCUGAUGCAGCCAUGCCGCGUGUAUGAAGAAGGCCUUCGGGUUGUAAAGUACUUUCAGCGGGGAGGAAGGGAGUAAAGUUAAUACCUUUGCCCAUUGACGUUACCCGCAGAAGAAGCACCGGCUAACUCCGUGCCAGCAGCCGCGGUAAUACGGAGGGUGCAAGCGUUAAUCGGAAUUACUGGGCGUAAAGCGCACGCAGGCGGUUUGUUAAGUCAGAUGUGAAAUCCCCGGGCUCAACCUGGGAACUGCAUCUGAUACUGGCGAGCUGGAGUAUGGUAGAGGGGGGUAGAAUUCCCGGUGUAGCGGUGAAAUGCGUAGAGAUCUGGAGGAAUACCGGUGGCGAAGGCGGCCCCCUGGACGAAGACUGACGCUCAGGUGCGAAAGCGUGGGGAGCAAACAGGAUUAGAUACCCGCGUAGUC
RNAcentral lists this ribosomal RNA (464 nucleotides) under uncultured bacterium. RNAcentral describes it as "partial 16S ribosomal RNA". It matches the Rfam family "Bacterial small subunit ribosomal RNA", at positions 339 to 795 of the family's 1533-position model. The record is from RNAcentral.